This 1111-nucleotide small RNA is filed under the name Arabidopsis thaliana (thale cress). RNAcentral describes it as "ATSL155560". Lineage: Eukaryota; Viridiplantae; Streptophyta; Magnoliopsida; Brassicales; Brassicaceae. The record is from RNAcentral.
AAAAAAUUUAGUUUAACUAAAAUAUAUACCGCAGGUUAAUAUCUAGAUUAUAGGGCUUAUUGGAUCUAAAGACGGAUCAUCAAAGAUUUCUUAAACUGAAGCAAAAUAUAUUGAAUAUUCAAAUAUCUAUCUGUUACCAAAUUAUAAACAAAUAAGUCAAUUUAAUAUUUUAUAUACGAAAUCAAUUAAAUCUUAAUCACAUAAAAAUUAGCACAAAAAAGUAUUCAUCAAUUAAAAAAAUAUCAAAUCUCUGUGUUAUAUAAGUUUUGAUACUAUAUUCGAAUAAAGUGUAAUAUACCUUUUCAAUUUGUAUUCUUUAACUAACUUAAGCUAACUAAUAUAUUUGCUAAUCUUAUACCUAUCAAAACCGACUAUCGUUUCUUAUCUCUAUAGUAUUUUUGCAAGACUUUUUUGGUGGAUUUGGAUAAAAGUGCAUUCGGGUCAUAUGGUACAUUCUCCUAUUAAAUAAAUAUGGUGCACUCCUAUGUUAUUAUCUAAAAUAUUUACAUUCUAAUUCAGAGUCAUAUCAUUAAUAAAAUUAAUAUUAAUAAAAUUAAUAUUAACAAAAUAAAUAGCUUUUUGGCAAGACGGAUUUGGAGGGACGGAUUUUUGAAUCAACAUUAAUAAAAAAGUAAAAUAUAAUUAAUCCAUCGUUUUAAUACGGGUUAGAUCUUUAAUUUAUUAUUUUUUAAGACCACUAAUAUUAAACAUAUCAAAUCAUCCUAAUUUAGAAAAGAUUAUAUAAAACCAAAAAUGUAAUGUGGUAUGUAUAAUGUUACUAUAUAUAAAAUUAAACUAUAGAUAUAAAUGUAUUAGAGAAUGAUACAAUUUGCAAAACUUUUCUAUAUAAAAAAUUAUUCUUAAAUUUUAAAAAUUACUAUUUUAAAAAAAAAUCACGGGACGGUAAAAAAAUUACAGAACGAGUUCUAUUUUGGAAUUGGGUUAUAUGGUGGAUGUAUUUGAAUCAAUAUUUAUAAAAUUUUAAAAUAUUAUUAAUAUGCUGUUUUAAUAGGGGUUAAAACUUCAGUUUUUUAACAAUUAUCUCAUGGAUUCGUGGUAUACCGUUACUUAAUAACAAUUAUAAACUGUAUAAUAUAAAUAUUUUAUAAAA